Molecule: transfer RNA, 74 nt
Filed under: Chloroflexota bacterium
Lineage: Bacteria; Bacillati; Chloroflexota
Description: Chloroflexi bacterium tRNA-Gly
Rfam family: tRNA
About the family: Transfer RNA (tRNA) molecules are approximately 80 nucleotides in length. Their secondary structure includes four short double-helical elements and three loops (D, anti-codon, and T loops).
Source: RNAcentral
GCGGGUGUAGCACAGUGGUAGUGCGGUAGCCUUCCAAGCUAUUUACACGGGUUCGAUUCCCGUCACCCGCUCCG